UACGUAGGGUGCGAGCGUUAAUCGGAAUUACUGGGCGUAAAGCGUGCGCAGGCGGUUUUGUAAGCCAGAUGUGAAAGCCCCGGGCUCAACCUGGGAAUGGCAUUUGGGACUGCAAGGCUUGAGUGCGGCAGAGGAGACUGGAAUUCCUGGUGUAGCAGUGAAAUGCGUAGAUAUCGUGAGGAACACCAGAGGCGAAGGCGGUUACCUGGACAGUUACUGACGCUCAGGCACGAAAGCAUGGGGAGCAAAAGGG
Molecule: ribosomal RNA, 253 nt
Filed under: uncultured bacterium
Lineage: Bacteria
Description: partial 16S ribosomal RNA
Rfam family: Bacterial small subunit ribosomal RNA
Source: RNAcentral